This 196-nucleotide ribosomal RNA is filed under the name uncultured bacterium. RNAcentral's name for it is "partial 16S ribosomal RNA". It matches the Rfam family "Bacterial small subunit ribosomal RNA", at positions 1303 to 1500 of the family's 1533-position model. The record is from RNAcentral.
GGCUGAAAUUCGCCUUCAUGAAGCUGGAAUUGCUAGUAAUGGCAGGUCGGCAUACUGCCGUGAAUACGUUCCCGGGCCUUGUACACACCGCCCGUCACACCAUGAGAGUUGGGAAUACCCGAAGCCUGUGAGCUAACGUAAGAGGCAGCAGUCGAAGGUAGAAUCAAUGAUUGGGGUGAAGUCGUAACAAGGUAUC